GACGAACGCUGGCGGCGUGCCUAAUACAUGCAAGUAGAACGCUGAAGGAGGAGCUUGCUUCUCUGGAUGAGUUGCGAACGGGUGAGUAACGCGUAGGUAACCUGCCUGGUAGCGGGGGAUAACUAUUGGAAACGAUAGCUAAUACCGCAUAAGAGUAGAUGUUGCAUGACAUUUGCUUAAAAGGUGCAAUUGCAUCACUACCAGAUGGACCUGCGUUGUAUUAGCUAGUUGGUGAGGUAACGGCUCACCAAGGCGACGAUACAUAGCCGACCUGAGAGGGUGAUCGGCCACACUGGGACUGAGACACGGCCCAGACUCCUACGGGAGGCAGCAGUAGGGAAUCUUCGGCAAUGGACGGAAGUCUGACCGAGCAACGCCGCGUGAGUGAAGAAGGUUUUCGGAUCGUAAAGCUCUGUUGUAAGAGAAGAACGAGUGUGAGAGCGGAAAGUUCACACUGUGACGGUAUCUUACCAGAAAGGGACGGCUAACUACGUG
RNAcentral lists this ribosomal RNA (495 nucleotides) under uncultured bacterium. RNAcentral describes it as "partial 16S ribosomal RNA". It matches the Rfam family "Bacterial small subunit ribosomal RNA", at positions 28 to 507 of the family's 1533-position model. The record is from RNAcentral.